RNAcentral lists this microRNA precursor (70 nucleotides) under Capitella teleta. Lineage: Eukaryota; Metazoa; Annelida; Polychaeta; Capitellidae. The record is from RNAcentral.
GCCUACAUUUGUACAUGGGUGUACAUGUAAUAAUUAUUAUUACAUGUACACCCAUGUACAAAUGUAGGCC